This 774-nucleotide long non-coding RNA is filed under the name Gallus gallus (chicken). Its description in RNAcentral is "lncRNA (ENSGALG00010019582.1)". Lineage: Eukaryota; Metazoa; Chordata; Aves; Galliformes; Phasianidae. The record is from RNAcentral.
CAGCACACAGGACACUGCUGCUAACAAGAGCGUAGGCCUGAAUGCCAGGAACAUGGACUCGCGACAUUCAUUUGCAAAAAGGCAAACAUGGAGGUUUUCUCAUCCAGAAAAUGCUGCAGCUUCUACCAGCACCUUGGUAACAUCUAACAGCAAGGAGCGCAGUGUGUAAUGCCUACUCAAGAUAAGAAGCCACAACCCUGAAAAGGAAUUAUCUGAAUACGAAUCCCACUGUUCUCCUGGCAGCCCUGCCCUGGCUUUGCAGCAACAAGAGCACCAAGCAGCUCAGCCAUGACACCAACUACACUUUGCCAAAGUGGUAGAAAAAGAGUUAGAGAAGCAAGCAGGAGCAGGCUGUGGACAGCCCACGUCUGCUGCAGCACAAGUGUAAGAAAAGAAUAUGAUUUGGACUACUGUAAGCCUUUCACCAUCUCCCUCAAGGAAACUGCUGAAGAUAAAAUUACAAAUGCAUAUCGUAAGGAGCAGGAGAAAAGCGUGAGGAGGAAGGAGCAACAAAGAAGAACUCCUGGGCUGCCCGCAGCUUCCCCUCCCCAUCCCUUGUGUCGCUUGUGAGGACAGAAGAGCUGACAGGAGAGAGCAGAGGAACAGGGAACCACAGGACAAGGUUGAGCCUGGGAAGAAGGGAGAACUGGGGCAAGGUGGCUUUAGGUUUGGCUUUGUUUCUUACCAUCAUACUCUGUUUUUCAUUCCCAAUAAAGUAAAUUAAUCUUACUCUUCCUUUACUCUCCCACUGCAUCACCUUUUUCUAACACUGCC